AGAAUCAACGCUGGCGGCGUGCCUAACACAUGCAAGUCGAACGAGAAAGUGGAGCAAUCCAUGAGUAAAGUGGCGCACGGGUGAGUAACACGUGACUAACCUACCCUGGAGUGGGGGAUAACUGAGGGAAACCUUAGCUAAUACCGCAUAAUACCUACGGGUCAAAGGAGCAAUUCGCUUCAGGAGGGGGUCGCGGCCGAUUAGUUAGUUGGCGGGGUAAUGGCCCACCAAGACAGUGAUCGGUAUCCGGCCUGAGAGGGCGCACGGACACACUGGAACUGAAACACGGUCCAGACUCCUACGGGAGGCAGCAGUGGGAAUUUUGCGCAAUGGGGGAAACCCUGACGCAGCAACGCCGCGUGGAGGAUGAAGUCCUUCGGGACGUAAACUCCUUCGAUCGGGACGAUUAUGACGGUACCGGAAGAAGAAGCCCGGCUAACUUCGCGCCAGCAGCCGC
Molecule: ribosomal RNA, 457 nt
Filed under: uncultured bacterium
Lineage: Bacteria
Description: SSU rRNA
Rfam family: Bacterial small subunit ribosomal RNA
Source: RNAcentral